CCUACGGGUGGCAGCAGUGGGGAAUAUUUGACAAUGGGGGCAACCCUGAUCCAGCCAUGCCGCGUGUGUGAAGAAGGCCCUCGGGUUGUAAAGCACUUUCAGUGAGGAAGAACGCCUGGUGGUUAAUACCCAUCAGGAAAGACAUCACUCACAGAAGAAGCACCGGCUAACUCCGUGCCAGCAGCCGCGGUAAUACGGAGGGUGCGAGCGUUAAUCGGAAUUACUGGGCGUAAAGCGCGCGUAGGUGGCUUGAUAAGCCGGUUGUGAAAGCCCCGGGCUCAAACUGGGAACGGCAUCCGGAACUGUCAAGCUAGAGUGCAGGAGAGGAAGGUAGAAUUCCCGGUGUAGCGGUGAAAUGCGUAGAGAUCGGGAGGAAUACCAGUGGCGAAGGCGGCCUUCUGGACUGACACUGACACUGAGGUGCGAAAGCGUGGGUAGCAAACAGGAUUAGAUACCCCGGUAGUC
This 465-nucleotide ribosomal RNA is filed under the name Vreelandella stevensii. RNAcentral describes it as "partial 16S ribosomal RNA". It matches the Rfam family "Bacterial small subunit ribosomal RNA", at positions 338 to 795 of the family's 1533-position model. The record is from RNAcentral. Lineage: Bacteria; Pseudomonadati; Pseudomonadota; Gammaproteobacteria; Oceanospirillales; Halomonadaceae.